Pungitius pungitius (ninespine stickleback) is the source of this 775-nucleotide long non-coding RNA. RefSeq lists it as uncharacterized. The record is from RefSeq and is a predicted model, not a curated record. NCBI's taxonomy places the organism in Eukaryota, Metazoa, Chordata, Actinopteri, Perciformes, Gasterosteidae. The transcript has 5 exons.
CAUCCUCUCAUCCACAUCGCCGCAUCAGGUGAUGAUGCAGAAUGUCACGGCACCACCAGGACUCGAUGUUGAGCUGGGUUUUUUCGACGGGCCCCGGUGACGGAGUCAUUCACAGGCAAGGGCCAUAAAUGGCCCCAGUUGAACACCCCUUUGAGCACUGCAUUCUCAGGAAUCAGAACUGACUGGAGCACAGCCAAAAUGCCAGGAACAAAAGGUAAUAAGUCGGACAAGAAGUCAGGUACCAAGCAACCUCAGAGUCCUAAAGAGCAGCCGAAGAAAGCUGAUCCGAAGGGAGAUGAUACCAAAAAGCAAGGAGCAGGACAGCCGAAGGGAGAGAAGCAAUAACUUCCAGGCGUUUGUGAAGAUGGCUUUGGAGACACUGCUGGGGUCCUGCCGCCGUACACGCGGCAGCCCCCGAGGUGAACGGGGCUGAGUGCACCCCUCCCAUCGCACGCUCCCACUCAACCUGCCGACUGGGCUGUUGUGCGGAGAGAGAGAGAGAGAGAGAGAGAGAGAAAGUGAACCUGAUCUCCAUCCAUCACCAUCUGUUGUUCAACCUGUCCCACCAACCCUUUCCUUUGCCCUCUUCUCCACACGGGCUCAUCGGAUGCUCAGAAAUAGACUCCAGGUUAAACCGGACCAUUGCUUUGAGCAAAAAAAUAAAAUAAAAUGCUGUUAUCCCUUUGCAAUCCUUCCUGAACUCACCUUCAUAUCACGAUCGACUGUCUGACAGUCCUUGUAAAUACCAAUAAUGCAAAUAAACAACUAUUUCUUU